Molecule: long non-coding RNA, 1266 nt
Filed under: Pandoravirus salinus
Description: putative ncRNA
Source: RNAcentral
UGUGUGUGUGGCAGAAAAAAAACAAAAGGCUACGUGGGGGUCAGGCGGCCAAUAGGCGAUCCAAGAGCACCGCAGCGGCAACGUCAAGGGCGGGACUAUCGCGGCGCGCGCGGGCGAUGGCCUCGGCGAGGGUCUCGCCCUGGGCCUCGCUGCAGGCCCGUGCGGCGCCGGCAUAGGCCAAAAGGGCCGUGGCCGUGGCGAUGCGGUGCUUGACGAGGGCGCCCACAAGGGCCUCGGCAAACCUUUCGAGAUGGUGCCUCUCGCAGAGCCACACGGCAGCAUUGCGCGCGCCGCUGGACGCCGCCAUCACCAGAGCGCCGUCGAGAUCACCUCCGUCCACAUUGUGAUCGCAGAGCCAGACCAAGGCGUCGACCCUGUUGUUGUGCGCCGCCAAAUCCGCCCACGUGCGUGGGUGGCCCGGCUUGACGCAGGGACCAUACGCUGGCAUGCAGCCCACACGCGAAAAGAGGCUCGCCAAUUGGCCCUCGUCAAACAAGAGUUGAAGGACCGCGACGCGCCCAUGCACGACCGACUCCCACACCGUCGCGUAGAGCCAGUUUUCCCGUUCGACGAUUUUCCACUUUACGAGUGCGCGCAAGAGGUCGAGAUGGCCGGCCUUGGCCGUGUCGGCCAUGAUGUCGCGUAGGCGACACGCUGGGAUAGACGUCGCGCUCCAACGGCAGGGGCAUCCGGCGACGCAUCGAGGCCGGCCGGCGGCGUAGAGUACCUCGGCGCACGCCACCGACCCCGUGGCCGGUAGACGCUCCCACAGGCGGCCGUGGGCCUGAUCCGACGGCGCGCUGGCGCGCGCUUUGGAAAGUGUCCAUUGAAGAAGUGCGACAUCGGCGGCAGCCAUGGCCUCGGCAGCCAGACGCAUGCGGCAGGCCUCGGCGCCUUGGCCCAUGGGGGUCCUCCCCGCCGCGAGGUCGUCUUCCAAGACGGCGCGGCGCCACGCCUUGCAGACGCGCGCAACCAGGAACCGGGCCUGUGGCGUCGGUGCGGCUCUUUGGAGAAUCAACCACCACAGUUCGAUAGGCAGGUCGGAUCGCCUGCUUGUGUCCAUGUCGUCGUCGUCGUUGUCGCUUUUGCGGUCAUCUUCCGCGUUGAUGUAUCUAUAGUCGAUCGGCGUCGGGCCGCAACCCCAUAGACUCGCCAGCCGCGACAACAUUGGUCGAGUCGCGCGACGCCUCGUAUGGGGGACGGUCUGGACAGACGCCGGGGACAAAGAAAAGAUUGGUGUAGAAAGAAAAAAAAGAAAGAUGCGCU